UCUGUUCUGACAAAGUGCUUCAAAAAAGGCACAUACAAGGGAGACAGUGAUAUACACAGUGAUAUACACAGUGUUAAGGCUUAAUACGUGAGAAUGAAUUUAUAUCAGACUGCAUCAGACUUGCAGCCCUACAUGUUCUCAAAACACCGGGUGCAGAAUUUGCAUUUACAAAGGCUGGCUGGGUUAAAAUGAUCGUUGUUAUGAGUGAUCUGAUAUCUUGAUUAAUGACAUCCUGAAAUGGAUCUUUUAAUGUCGGCCUUUUCACCAUGGA
Sander lucioperca (pikeperch) is the source of this 271-nucleotide long non-coding RNA. RefSeq lists it as uncharacterized. The transcript has 2 exons. The record is from RefSeq and is a predicted model, not a curated record. Lineage: Eukaryota; Metazoa; Chordata; Actinopteri; Perciformes; Percidae.